GCUACUGUGGUGAAAUAGGCAUACACGAGGGACUUAAAAUCCCUUUCUUAAUUGAGUGCGGGUUCAAGUCCCGCCAGUAGCACCA
Molecule: transfer RNA, 85 nt
Filed under: Caudoviricetes sp.
Lineage: Duplodnaviria; Heunggongvirae; Uroviricota; Caudoviricetes
Description: tRNA-Leu
Rfam family: tRNA
About the family: Transfer RNA (tRNA) molecules are approximately 80 nucleotides in length. Their secondary structure includes four short double-helical elements and three loops (D, anti-codon, and T loops).
Source: RNAcentral